Molecule: long non-coding RNA, 2342 nt
Organism: Grus americana (Whooping crane)
Lineage: Eukaryota; Metazoa; Chordata; Aves; Gruiformes; Gruidae
Exons: 3
Source: RefSeq, a predicted model, not a curated record
GCCAGGUGCACAAGAAGCUGGGAGAGCACAGCCAGGACAGCUGACCCAGACUGGCCAAAGGGAUAUUCCAUACCAUGCUCCGUAUAGAACUGGGGAAGCGAGCCAGGAGGCAGGAUCACUGCUUGGAAACAGACUGGGCAUCAGAGAGUUUUCCCCACAGAACCUCUCUGGUGAGGUCGGAUGAAUUCUGAGCAGAGGGAGCUGGUGGGAGCAGACCUUUGUGCAUGUCCCGUGGUAGCCAGUCACUCUGCAUAGCCCUGACACUGCUGGAAUGGCUACGUCUGGGUUACAGCUCAUGGGCAUUGCUGCUGAAUAAAGGUAAAAGAUUUUUAGAUAGUUUUCUUUCAAGAGAAGACAGCAAAUUAACCUGCCUGUACAUUGUUCAAAGACUAAUCUGAAUGUGAAAUAUCAAUUUCUAUGUUUUCCAGCAGACCCUGUUCAAACAAAAGAUUGUUGCAGUUAAGAGCACUUGAUCCCUCACCGAGUCAGAAGUCACCGCGUCUUUGCUCUUUGGCCUCGUUUUAUGGUAACCGCAAGAAAAAAGCCAUUAAACCAUUUCACUGUUCCCAGCGUUUACGUCCCUGCCCCUGCCCUUUGGUGCCCAUGGAUCCACCGCACGCGCAGAACCGCCGUAUGCGGGGCAGUGCUACGAUGGAUGCUACCUGAGGAGCACGUUGUACCAGUCCUUCCAGCUCAGCACAGUGUGUUGGCUAAUUCCCAGUACUGAAAUUGCAGUAUUAAAUGUAAAUUACAACAGUAAUAAAUGAGCUUUAUCCACCAAAUCCCCAACAUUUUAUAUUUUGCUCUGGAAAGCCUUCUGUGAGCUCUAUUACAGCUGUUAGCACUUGUUUUAAUUAAACUUAUAGCACAGCAUGCUGCUCAGUUAACCAGUUUUCAGUUUUCAGAGAAAAUCAGCAAGCAGCUCCAAUUGCAUUUUUCUGUCAUUCUUCACAUGCUGUGCUUUAGCAUACGUUAUAAAAAUGUUGAUAGAGGAUUAUACAUCUCCAGGGAGGAUAAUGGCAAUGCGAAACUUCUUACUUCUAGGCUAUUUUUUCCGAUUUAGUAUAGGUUCUUACAUUCUAUGAAAAUAUUUGGUGUUUAGCUGCAGCUUGGAUGCCUGCAUUCAAGGACACAGGUGGUGUCAGCAUCCAGGACAGAGGAUUAUAAGCCCACCUCACCAUGGUUAGGUCCCUCAUUGUCAGUGUCAGCAAAAAAGUAAUUGGUUUGUAGGGCUGAAGAACGCUUGCUGCCUUCAACUACGACUAAAUCAUGUCUGUAUCAGAAAAUAAUUGGAUGGGUGUUCCAUGUACGGUGCCUCUCCUGAGGUUUUUUUGUGACUUUAAUUUCCAGGGCUAUCAGCCCAAAAGUGUUGUAUUAGAAAAACAGGAAAAGAAGAAUCUGGUUUUAGAGAAUGCAGUGGCACAGCCUUUUGUUGCAGCGGUUUGAAGUGUCUCUCCAUUGACAUCUAGUGUCCGUACAGACAGAUCUUUAGAUUCCUCGCAGCCGUGCUGGCAAUAUUUAUCUCUAAAUCUUUAAAGGUUUUUUCCAUGCAUAGUUAUUAAGAUCUCUUAUUGAUAAUACCAGGCCAGCCAGUAGGUGAGGCUGAUGGCGAAAACACAGGGAUCUCCCUACACUUACUGUUUUGUGAUAUGCAGCGGUAUCUGUAGAUUUCAGUGUUCCAAAUGGCUCCAGAAACCCUUCCAAUGCCUUGCGGUUCAAAAAUAUUAACCUUUUUUCAAGUCAUCCUGUGAACACCUGCAAAAUAUUUUCAAUCUCUAUUACCUUUCCUCAGAGCAUACAAGCAAUUGUGAACCAAUAAAUAUUCAAUAAAUAUUCAAAUAGUAUGAAGGAUUGUACUUCUGCAGUCAGGCAUUAUUCUAAUUUUCUUUAAUUAUGCAACAGUAUUUUUUAAUAACAGAAGCCUCUUUAUUACAAUCCGUUAUAUCACUAAAAGCUAUUUAAUAAAGAACUGUUUUUAUCUACUUUUACAGUGAUGACGAGUUAUUUUCAUAUUUAUUUAUUUAUACUGUAGAAAUUCCAAGUUUACAAAAGAUUUGAUGUUUUGCUUUUGCAAAAUCUUGAACAGUGGCAGUUCAUCAUGUCGUUACUGUACACUUUGCUCCGUAAGCAACUCCACCUUUGCAGUGCUUCCUCCUGCUCCUUCAGUCGGCCUUACGAGCUUAUGCUGGGGCAGUGCACACAGGAGCUGUGCUAGAAACACAACCCCACCAUGCUAGAUCCUAGCAUGAAGUGGAAAAGUCCUUCCGUACACAGGAAGCUCCCCGUAGGUUCAUAUUUUGAGCAUUUCCAUGGAUAGAAUCUGUUUUCAAAGGGAGUUAUUU